AGUGAACGCUGGCGGUAGGCCUAACACAUGCAAGUCGAACGGCAGCACAGUAAGAGCUUGCUCUUACGGGUGGCGAGUGGCGGACGGGUGAGGAAUACAUCGGAAUCUACUUUUUCGUGGGGGAUAACGUAGGGAAACUUACGCUAAUACCGCAUACGACCUACGGGUGAAAGCAGGGGAUCUUCGGACCUUGCGCGAUUGAAUGAGCCGAUGUCGGAUUAGCUAGUUGGCGGGGUAAAGGCCCACCAAGGCGACGAUCCGUAGCUGGUCUGAGAGGAUGAUCAGCCACACUGGAACUGAGACACGGUCCAGACGCCUACGGGAGGCAGCAGUGGGGAAUAUUGGACAAUGGGCGCAAGCCUGAUCCAGCCAUACCGCGUGGGUGAAGAAGGCCUUCGGGUUGUAAAGCCCUUUUGUUGGGAAAGAAAAGCAGCAGGUUAAUACCCCGCUGUUCUGACGGUACCCAAAGAAUAAGCACCGGCGAACUUCGU
This 491-nucleotide ribosomal RNA is filed under the name uncultured bacterium. RNAcentral's name for it is "partial 16S ribosomal RNA". It matches the Rfam family "Bacterial small subunit ribosomal RNA", at positions 29 to 506 of the family's 1533-position model. The record is from RNAcentral.